AGUUGAUACUUCUAUACAGGCCUGGGGCCAUUACAUUGCAAUGUAAUGCAUUACAUUACAAUUACUUUGUGAUUCUUCCAUUACAAUUACAAUUACAAUUACAUUUUUCUCACAUGUAAUGCAUUACAUUACAAUUACUUUGCCUGUGUAAUGCAUUACAUUACACAUUACUUUUUCAAUAUAAAAACAAAAAGCAUUUCAAAAACAGAG
This 210-nucleotide long non-coding RNA is filed under the name Mytilus galloprovincialis (Mediterranean mussel). The record is from RNAcentral. Lineage: Eukaryota; Metazoa; Mollusca; Bivalvia; Mytilida; Mytilidae.